UCGGGAAUUUUGGGCAAUGGGCGAAGGCCUGACCCAGCAACGCCGCGUGAGGGAUGAAGUAUUUCGGUAUGUAAACCUCGAAAGAAUGGGAAGAAUAAAUGACGGUACCAUUUAUAAGCUCCGGCUAACUACGUGCCAGCAGCCGCGGUAAUACGUAGGGAGCAAGCGUUGUUCGGAUUUACUGGGCGUAAAGGGCGCGUAGGCGGCGCGGUAAGUCACUUGUGAAAUCUCUGAGCUUAACUCAGAACGGCCAAGUGAUACUGCUGGGCUAGAGUGCGGAAGAGGCAACCGGAAUUCUUGGUGUAGCGGUGAAAUGCGUAGAUAUCAAGAGGAACACCUGAGGCGAAGGCGGGUUGCUGGGCCGACACUGACGCUGAUGCGCGAAAGCCAGGGGAGCAAACG
RNAcentral lists this ribosomal RNA (402 nucleotides) under uncultured bacterium. RNAcentral describes it as "bacterial SSU rRNA". It matches the Rfam family "Bacterial small subunit ribosomal RNA", at positions 355 to 774 of the family's 1533-position model. The record is from RNAcentral.